UUUAAGCAUAUAAGUAAGCGGAGGAUAAGAAACUAAAUAGGAUUCCCUUAGUAAUGGCGAAUGAACAGGGAUCAGCUCAGCAUGGAAAUUGGGGCCCUCGGCCUUGAAUUGUAGUCUCGAGAUGUAUCGCCAACGGAGGCGCAGAUGUAAGCCUCUUGGAAAGGAGCAUCAACGAGGGUGAGAGUCCCGUUUGUCAUCUGCAGUCCCCCGUGCACGGCAUACCUUCUAAGAGUCGCGUUCCUCGGAAUUGGAGCGUAAAUUGGGUGGUAAAUUUCAUCUCAAGCUAAAUAUUGGUUCGAGACCGAUAGCAAACAAGUACCAUGAGGGAAAGAUGAAAAGGACUUUGAAAAGAGAGUUAAAAGUGCCUGAAAUUGCUGAAAGGGAAGCGAAUGGAACCAGUGUUGCUUGGCAGGAUUGUCGGGUGCAUGACGCUCCUGAUCGUCUCCUGCCUUGUGUGUCAACGCCAGUUCGCGAUCGAGGAAAACUCCAGGGUCAUGGUAGCUUGUCUUCGGGUGAGUGAAUAGCCUUGGCAGAACUCAUUUGCGGACUGUUUCUUUCGUGUCUGGUUGCAGUGUCUUUGGCACCUUGGAGAUCUCGGCUUGGCCUGCCACAGUCGGGUGACCCAGGUGACUUGGGCAUUUCCCUGACGCAAAGACGAUGACUAAAUGGUUCUAUUCGACCCGUCUUGAAACAC
This 694-nucleotide ribosomal RNA is filed under the name Prorocentrum micans. RNAcentral's name for it is "LSU rRNA". It matches the Rfam family "Eukaryotic large subunit ribosomal RNA", at positions 33 to 662 of the family's 3401-position model. Lineage: Eukaryota; Dinophyceae; Prorocentrales; Prorocentraceae. The record is from RNAcentral. RNAcentral also lists the same sequence under 1 other name.